GGCGCGAUGGCCGAGUGGUUAAGGCGACAGAUUCGAAUGUGGUAUAUAAACAUAACGUUUCAUCUGUUCCGGUUUCCGGGCGCAGGUUCAAAUCCUGCUCGCGUCG
This is a non-coding RNA of Mycena polygramma, 106 nucleotides long. The record is from the annotation of a GenBank genome assembly. NCBI's taxonomy places the organism in Eukaryota, Fungi, Basidiomycota, Agaricomycetes, Agaricales, Mycenaceae.